AGAGAGAGAGAGUACUGUUAUAUAUCCUGUAAUGGCCACACAGCCUUACACGCUUGCAUGCACUCCCGUCUAAUUUACAAUGAAGGAGGCAAGUUUUUCUUUCUUGGCAAGGAAUUAAAAAGUCAAAUUACAAGCACCGACCUAGCUAGUUCGAAAUUUUGACCCGGUCAGUGCAUGAGUUACGUCCGAGGACGUAGAAAUUGACGAGAAAUUAGUGAUGAAACAAUAUGAAGAUCGGCACACGCUUUAAUUUAAUUCACGGCAAUGCUUGAAGACAAGCGAUCGAGUUAAAUUAGUGGUUCGAUCGGUAGGCGACUGAGCUUAUAUUAAUCGGCCAUAUAUUGGACCAGGCAAAUUAAUGGCGACCUCAUCAACAGUUAACUACACUAGCUUGGAAAUUUCAACGAGGCCAUCUAGAUUUAUAGCCUGCACCUGCAGCGAGCAUAUGAAGAUUUUUGCCAAGAACGUAACCAUCAGAGAUUAUUUACCUGCAGUUGCAACUGAAAUCAAGUUGGAAGCAGGGUUUUACUAUUUCGUUUUCUAGCAAAAUUUAAUUUCGGUACUUUUUGACAGAUAUUACUUGGAAGUUUAACAUAUCUUGAAUCAAUUUAAGAAAUUUUGAUCAAAUUCACAAAAAAUUAAAAAGAAAAAAGAAAUUUCCGGGCGAGAUAUAUAUGCUUGCCGGUAAGGAGCGAAAUUUCAAAAAUUCGUUCCGAAAUUGCAAUCUCUGAUUAGAAGUUCUGCAUUGUUUGCACUCUGCAACAACUACGCGCAUUCAGGAACAAAUCAUGCACAUGCCUGCUGCCGAUCUAUUCGUCUUCAUGUGUAUAUAUAUAUACUAUAUAUUAGCAUGUCUGAAUGAAUUAAUGAGUCCAAGUUUUAGUUAAAUUUGUAGCCAGGGCGGUUGAUCGAUCGACGAGCUCUGCCUACGUACGGCUUGAACUGAAUCAAAGACAGGAAUAACGCAGGAAAAUACCUCAUAUUCUUCAGGAUGGUCGAGAGAUCGCUCAGUAAAUUAACCUCCUGUACAAAAAAUUCAAGGGUAGUUAGAUGAAGAACGCGAAACCAGUCCAGUCAAUCAAAUAGUUUAGCCGGUAAUUUACAUUGUCAUAGCCAUGGCUGUACAAAUAAUUCCUAUUGAGAAUUACUUGAUAUUCAAAUACAUUGCACUAUAUGCGUAUGGAAAGGCAUACAUGAUGCAUGCCUUUCCAUGCCUGAACAAAUCCCUGAAUGCCUUUCCAUGCCUGAACAAAUCCCUGAAUGCCUCAAGAGCUAACAAGCUAACACAAACCAACUUAUGUAUAGGUUACAAUAUAAAAACAUAUGUAUGCAAUACCACUACUUGAUUAUCUGUCUUCUUAAAUAUAUAUCUGGGGAUGAAAUAUUAAUAGCAAGUUAUGUAAGAUGGGUUCAAACAAGGGACAGACACAAACACUACUUGAUUAUCUGUCUUCUUAAAUAUAUAUACAUCUGGGGUUGAAAUAUUAAUAGUAAGUUAUGUAAGAUGGGUUCAAACAAGGGACAGACACAAGAGAGCAUCACCAUCUUCCAUGACUAUUCCAGCGUAUUUCAUAAGAACAUUGAUCGUGAAUUACCGUAGGGUUUUGGGAUACUUUGCCUAUAUAAGGCGCUCAUAUACAUAGCCCAAAAUGACACAGCUCCAAAAAGCUAGCUAGCAGAAAACUCACACGAACACCUUAUCAAUUAACGAUUUAAUUGAUUGAGGUUUUCUCCACUGAGAUCCCUAACUGCAAAAUGGCCGAUCAGAAAAAAUACAUGGCAUCGGGACUUAGUCCUGAGAUUAAGCUUAAGAUGGGUGGCAACAGACCACGCAAAGAGUAUCAACCUCAGAAGAAUGGCCAGCAAACGACAACUGAUCCUGCAUAUGGAGCUCUCGUCAGGCCAGUUGAACCACCGAAGUCGUGGGAUAACACAAAAAAGAACAAGUUGCCUUUCAACCCUUCAACUAAUCACGAUAAUGGAACUUCGAAUGGCACUACGAAUUCACGUCGAUAAAAUUGAGGUCAUCUAGUUGUCUCCGAUGCUAGCUGAAGACUAUAUGCAUAUAAGCUCACUACUCAAAGCUCGUGUGAAUAAAUAAAGGUGUAAUAUAUAGGAGCUACAAAUAAAGGUUAUGAAAAAAAUUUCUAGACAACAGAUGCAUUUAUUAUAGUAUACUCAAUAAAAUUUGUACUCAUCCUUAUCAGGAUGUAUCAGACCCUUAUGCACAUGUUAAUUUCUUUUAGGAGUCAUACACAUACAUAAAUAAAGUUGGACAACCCUAUGUAAAUAGCUGCUGAUGAAUUUAUUCAUUCUUGUACA
Molecule: long non-coding RNA, 2322 nt
Organism: Oryza sativa Japonica Group (Japanese rice)
Lineage: Eukaryota; Viridiplantae; Streptophyta; Magnoliopsida; Poales; Poaceae
Source: RefSeq, a predicted model, not a curated record